This 519-nucleotide ribosomal RNA is filed under the name uncultured bacterium. Its description in RNAcentral is "partial 16S ribosomal RNA". It matches the Rfam family "Bacterial small subunit ribosomal RNA", at positions 28 to 507 of the family's 1533-position model. The record is from RNAcentral.
GACGAACGCUGGCGGCGUGCCUAAUACAUGCAAGUCGAGCGAGUCUGCCUUGAAGAUCGGGGUGCUUGCACCCUGUGAAACAAGAUACAGGCUAGCGUCGGCCGGGUGAGUAACACGUGGGUAACCUGCCCACGAGAUCGGGAUAACACCUGGAAACAGAUGCUAAUACCGGAUAACAACAGAUGAUGCCUAUCAACUGUUUAAAAGAUGGUUCUGCUAUCACUCUUGGAUGGACCUCCGGUGCAUUAGCUAGUUGGUAGGGUAACGGCCUACCAAGGCGAGUAUGCAUAGCCGAGUUGAGUGACGGAUCGGCCACAUUAGGACUUAGACACGCCCCAAGCGCCUACGGGAGGCAGCAGUAGGGAAUCGUCCACAAUGGAGGCAAGUCUGAUGGAGCAACGCCGCGUGAGUGAAGAAGGGUUUCGGCUCGUAAAGCUCUGUUGUUGGUGAAGAAGGACAGGGGUAGGAACUGACCUUUGUUUGACGGUAAUCAAUUAGAAAGUCACGGCUAACUACGUG